Molecule: ribosomal RNA, 253 nt
Filed under: uncultured bacterium
Lineage: Bacteria
Description: partial 16S ribosomal RNA
Rfam family: Bacterial small subunit ribosomal RNA
Source: RNAcentral
UACGUAGGUGGCAAGCGUUGUCCGGAAUUAUUGGGCGUAAAGCGCGCGCAGGCGGCCUCUUAAGUCUGAUGUGAAAGCCCCCGGCUCAACCGGGGAGGGCCAUUGGAAACUGGGAGGCUUGAGUAUAGGAGGGAAGAGUGGAAUUCCACGUGUAGCGGUGAAAUGCGUAGAGAUGUGGGGGAACACCAGUGGCGAAGGCGACUCUUUGGCCUAUAACUGACGCUGAGGCGCGAAAGCGUGGGGAGCAAACAGG